UUUUUUUUUUGAUUUGGUGGUGUAUCAUAAAUAAGUAUGAAUGGAGUUUUGAUUUGCUGCUGCAUAUUUUUAGAGUAGGAAAAUGGCUUUUGGGUUUGGGGGAAUUUGUAUUGAUGAGAGUUUUUGUUGUUUGUACUUCUUUGGUUGCACUUCACUGUGAUUAUGGUGGUGGCAAAAUGAAAUGGUGUGAGUCGGGUAGGCUAACAGGAAUGCUUGACAUGGUGCUCAGGUAUGGGUCCUACAAAAAGUAGAAAAAAUUGAGUGAUGAGAAACUAAAAACAUGUGCCAAACGAGUGGGGUAUAGAAAAUUGGAGUAUUUUGAGUGAUAAGUGAUGAGUGAUGAAUAAUGAAUGAUGAGUGAUGAAAAUUGAGUGAGGAGUGAUGAGUGAUGAAAAAAAAAUCCAAACAACCCCUUACUUUCCACACAGAUAUAUAUCAGUGAUACUUACUUUCCACAGAAAUAUGCUUAUUUUGAUGCAACACUAAAAAUUUUCUAUAUGAUAAUGAUAUAUAUUCUACUUGACAUUGUCGCUUGCACAAACUAUAGCCAAAUUAUUAAUUUUAUAGAAUUUUCUUCUGCCUCAUCCAGUGAUUCUUUAUAUGUAAUUUAACAAGCACUAGUAUAAAGCUUUUUGAUGACAGAAUCUACAAUUUAAUUUUUGUAAUUAUUUAAUUUUGAUAUUUUUAUGUAAAAAAAGUUAUUUAAGGUUUAGGGUUAUUAUUUCCUUAUUUUUAGGUGCAUAUAAUGAUUUUUAGGUCAAAUUUGAUUCCUUUUAUAAUUAGGUAUCAAUUAGGAGUUAUUUUACAUUAUAUUUUCUUAUUUAUCAAGUUUUACGGAGUCCUUAAAUAGGCCUCUAAGUCUGUAUACGUUUUUGGAACAAUUAUUUAAUCAAUAAAAUUCAAACUUUUGUCUUUCUAUUUUCUGGUGGAUUCCAGACCAUUUCUUCUUGUGGAUUCAAGGACCCCUCAUGGAUUUGUGUUAUUUUCAGAAGCAAACGGGUAGAUGUAUUCUGCUUCUUGACACUUCCGCAUCCCGCAUCAAUUGGAUGCUAUUGCUGGAGCAUGGAAAUAAUAGGGAUAACUGUCGCGGAGACAUAGCUCAUAAGUAACCUAUUGGGACAAGAAGUUUAAGUUGCUCAAUUUAUGACUUUCAAGUUUGGCAAGAAGGCAAGGAAGAUGAAGUAUUCAAAGUAUUUGUUCUCAUGGCAUGGAAGAUUUCAGAUUUCAAAGAUGAAUUCGAGGACCAGUUUGUUUCAAGUGGAGGGGUCUGAUGUAGGACCGAAUCUACAAUUUAAUUUUCGUAAUUAUUUAAUUUUGAUAUUUUUUAUGCAAAAAACGUUAUUUUAGGUUUAGGGUUAUUACUUCCUUGUUUUUAGGUGCAUUUAAUGUUUUUUAGGUCAAAUUUGAUUCCUAUUAUAAUUAGGUAUCAAUUAAGAGUUAUUUUAUAUUAUAUUUUCUUGUUUGCCAAGUUUUACGGAGCCCUUAAAUAAGCCCCUAAGUCUGUCCACGUUUUUGGAACAAUUAUUCAAUCAAUAAA
This is a long non-coding RNA of Quercus robur (English oak), 1537 nucleotides long. RefSeq lists it as uncharacterized. The transcript has 3 exons. The record is from RefSeq and is a predicted model, not a curated record. Lineage: Eukaryota; Viridiplantae; Streptophyta; Magnoliopsida; Fagales; Fagaceae.